UCCCUGCUGGCUCAGAUGGUAAAGCAUCUGCCUGCAAUUCGGGAAACCUGGGUUCGAUCCCUGGGUUGGGAA
RNAcentral lists this transfer RNA (72 nucleotides) under Ovis aries (sheep). It matches the Rfam family "tRNA". From Rfam's summary of the family: Transfer RNA (tRNA) molecules are approximately 80 nucleotides in length. Their secondary structure includes four short double-helical elements and three loops (D, anti-codon, and T loops). Further hydrogen bonds mediate the characteristic L-shaped molecular structure. tRNAs have two regions of fundamental functional importance: the anti-codon, which is responsible for specific mRNA codon recognition, and the 3' end, to which the tRNAs corresponding amino acid is attached (by aminoacyl-tRNA synthetases). tRNAs cope with the degeneracy of the genetic code in two manners: having more than one tRNA (with a specific anti-codon) for a particular amino acid; and 'wobble' base-pairing, i.e. permitting non-standard base-pairing at the 3rd anti-codon position. Lineage: Eukaryota; Metazoa; Chordata; Mammalia; Artiodactyla; Bovidae. The record is from Rfam by way of RNAcentral.